GCACUGCUGAGGAGUCGCUCCCACAAUAGGACGAAACGGCCGUCCAGUGC
Molecule: non-coding RNA, 50 nt
Filed under: Schistosoma margrebowiei
Lineage: Eukaryota; Metazoa; Platyhelminthes; Trematoda; Strigeidida; Schistosomatidae
Source: RNAcentral